CUUAAAAGCAAUAAUACAACAGAAGAAGCACAGUUUGAUUACAUACAUAAGCAGACACACACACACACAAGCACAAACAAAACCUCACACACAGUAAACACACAGUUGUUCAUUCGAAUCCAGAAAUCCAACUGACAUUUAAAUGUGAUGCAAACAUUACAAAGGCUGUCGCGUGCAUAGGCACUCAGCGUUCCAAACAGCUCCUUCUCCUCCUCACCGCAGGGCUGCCUUUGGCCACACGCACGGACCAGCACCUCGCUAGGCUCUCGGCUUUGGUCUCAUGUAGGCCAGCAGUCUGACGGCCACAAACAGCCAGCCUGUGGAAGUGGAAUAGGUUCCCGAAACAUCAGUACUGCAAGCAUGAACCCACAGCCAAGGCCUCUAGGGCACGACACAGUACCAUGUCGGCCAACACACACACACACACACACACACACACAUAAGCAGGUUGAAACCAGGAACUGUUAAGGGCGGUGAGGUGGAGACAGACAUCUCAGGGCGUAUGUAAGGACCAAACCCUAGUGGCCCGAGCGCGGUGGGACGCGCUACAAACAGGCAAUAUUUUUAUGUGUGUGUGCUUUUGACUGGGUUCGUUUUAUUAGCGAACCCCUAGCUCUGUGUACUGUACCCCCCCCCACCCCCCCCACCCCCCCACACACACACACACACUGUCACACCAACCCCAACCAAAACGUGCCGUCUCUGAGGUUACGUCUUCACAACACGCUUCGGCUCGGAUCGCCCGUCUCAGACCAACUCAUCCCGGAGCGUCCUCACUGUUGGCAGCCAAGCCGCCGACUGCCUUUUCAUCCAAACGCCGUUUUGAAUCACUGUGUCUUUGUAAUGUAUUAUCUACCCAUCUCUCUCUCUCCUGGAAUUGCUUUCUUUAAAGAAGUGACAGGGUUAUUGUGUUCUAAUGUUUAAUUUCUUCUCAAUUGUCUCAGUUGCCAAAAUGUGUCAGUCAGUGUAUCAGCAGCUGGCCUUAAUGCUGCUGGCUGGCUGUGUGUCCAGCACCGAGGUUAUGAAGCAGGAUGUGGCCCGGCAGUAGAGAAGGUUGCCUGUUCUGCAGUACUUCCUGAAUGUGGGCCUCCUGACCCCGACUCAAGUGUGAACACUUUAACACACCUCCCCUGUCACUGGGAGAAUGUUCUUUGCACUGUGCUGUGACGUCACGUGACCGAAGCGGGCAAGGUUUGGUGACCUCACCGAUGACCUCAUCGCCACCUGUCCCCUCUGCCCGGCCCGCCAGGCCUUGACGAUGCCAAUGCGACGUUGAGGUGGAGUUACGCAGCAUUGCAACAACGUUGCCCCCGACGGCGUUGUUGUUUCCUGUAAACCACGGCCGUGGUCUUGUCCAGUCUUCUGUUCAUACAAAGAUAAAGCCAUGUUAACAGUAAGAUGCACAAUAAAUGACUUUUGUGAGAUUAAC
This is a long non-coding RNA of Esox lucius (northern pike), 1429 nucleotides long. The record is from Ensembl. Lineage: Eukaryota; Metazoa; Chordata; Actinopteri; Esociformes; Esocidae.